GAUCAAAGUGUAGUAUCUGUUCUUAUCAGCUUAAUAUCUGAUAUGUGGUGCAUGCACCACUUCGAUAUUAAACUGAUUUUUGGAACCAGGUGGUAGCUAAGGGGUUUACUCCUCUACCACCAUGGGUUGGCC
This 132-nucleotide small nuclear RNA is filed under the name Sigalion bandaensis. Its description in RNAcentral is "partial U2 small nuclear RNA". It matches the Rfam family "U2 spliceosomal RNA", at positions 25 to 156 of the family's 192-position model. From Rfam's summary of the family: U2 is a small nuclear RNA (snRNA) component of the spliceosome (involved in pre-mRNA splicing). Complementary binding between U2 snRNA (in an area lying towards the 5' end but 3' to hairpin I) and the branchpoint sequence (BPS) of the intron results the bulging out of an unpaired adenosine, on the BPS, which initiates a nucleophilic attack at the intronic 5' splice site, thus starting the first of two transesterification reactions that mediate splicing. Lineage: Eukaryota; Metazoa; Annelida; Polychaeta; Phyllodocida; Sigalionidae. The record is from RNAcentral. RNAcentral also lists the same sequence under 1 other name.